UGGAGGUGGAAGGAGGCUGAGCUCUCAUUUCUGGAGGUGGAGGGAGGCUGAGCUCUCAUUUCUGGAGGUGGAGGGAGGCUGAGCUCUCAUUUCUGGAGGUGGAGGGAGGCUGAGCUCUCAUUUCUGGAGGUGGAGGGAGGCUGAGCUCUCAUUUCUGGAGGUGGAGGGAAGCUGAGCUCUCAUUUAUGGAGGUGGAAGGAGGCUGAGCUCUCAUUUAUGGAGGUGGAGGGGAGGUGAGGCUGCGAUUUUUAGUGCUUAAAGCGAGAUUAAGGCCAAACUCCAGAUGAGAAACCUUCCUGUACUUGUUUUGAUGCUAACCCCCUCUGAGAGCCUGGGGGUCUCACACAGCCUAAGCUUCACUUGUGAGCGUUAGGAAGGGCAGAGCGCCUCUCUGGCGUGUUUCGGGGGUGUGGCUUUGCUGUCACUUGUAACGACCGCGAUGUAACUCAUUAAAACGCUGCUUUCA
Molecule: long non-coding RNA, 466 nt
Organism: Pogoniulus pusillus (Red-fronted tinkerbird)
Lineage: Eukaryota; Metazoa; Chordata; Aves; Piciformes; Lybiidae
Exons: 2
Source: RefSeq, a predicted model, not a curated record